UGGCGGCCAGCUCAACCAUUUCUUGGGCAUAGAAAUUGAGCGCGAAGGGGAGACUGGAAGAAUAACAAUCGGCCACAAGCAGUAUGUGGAACAAAUGCUACAUACUUGGGGCAUGUCAACGUGUAGGCCUGAAGCUACACCACUGGAUGCAGGUCACCAAGUCAAAUGUGAUGACGUUAACUGCGAGAUGGUUAAUGAAAAGAGCUACCAAUCAUUGAUAGGUUCUUUGAUGUAUUUAAAAGGCACGGCUAAUAUGAGACUUCAUUAUCAGGAUACUGGCAAGCAGAUCUAUGGAUACGUCGACGCAGACUGGGCGAACGAUGCUGCAGAUCGCAAAUCAUAUUGUGGAUAUGUCUUUAUUGGUGCAGGCAGCGCGAUUUCGUGGGAAUCGAAGAAACAAAGUCUGGUGGCGUUAAGCAGCACUGAAGCCGAAUAUAUUGCCUUAUCAACCGCAGCAAGGGAAGCAACAUAUAUUAAAAAAUUGUUGCAUGAAAUGGAAUUUAUAGAAACCAAGCCUAUUUUAUUGUAUUGCGAUAAUCAAAGCGCACAGUGCUUAGCUAAAAAUCCAAUUUUACAUAAACGUAGUAAGCACAUCGACAUAGAGUUUCACCAUGUACACGAGCUAUAUUCUAAGAACGAAAUAGAUGUUAAAUAUAUAGGUACUAAUGAUA
Non-coding RNA from Drosophila virilis, 671 nucleotides. The record is from RefSeq and is a predicted model, not a curated record. NCBI's taxonomy places the organism in Eukaryota, Metazoa, Arthropoda, Insecta, Diptera, Drosophilidae.